AGUUCGAUCAUGGUUCAGAUUGAACGCUGGCGGGUUUACACAUGCAAGUCGAACGGCAGCACGGACUUCGUCCGCGUGGCGAGUGGCGAACGGGUGAGUAAUGUAUCGGAACGUGCCUAGUAGCGGGGAUAACUACGCGAAAGCGUAGCUAAUACCGUAUACGCCCUUCGGGGGAGCGGGGACCUCGGGCCUCGCACUAUUAGAGCGGCCGAUAUCGGAUUAGCUAGUUGGUGGGGUAACGGCUCACCAAGGCGACGAUCCGCAGCUGGUUUGAGAGGACGACCAGCCACACUGGGACUGAGACACGGCCCAGACUCCUACGGAGUGCUAUGGGGAAUUUUGGGACAAUGGGGGAAACCCCGAUCCAGCCAUCCCGCGUGUGCGAUGAAGGCCUUCGGGUUGUAAAGCACUUUUGGCGGGAAAAGAAACGGCACGGGAUAAUACUCCGUGCAACUGACGGUACCUGCAGAACAGCCAGCAGCCGCGGUAAUACGUAGGGUGCAAGCGUUAACGGAAUUACUGGGCGUAAAAGCGUGCGCAGGCGGUUCGGAAAGAAAGAUGUGAACCAGAGCUUAACUUUGGAACUGCAUUUUUAACUACCGAGCUAGAGUGCGGCCAGAGGGAGAAUUCCGCGUGUAGCAGUGAAAUGCGUAGAUAUGCGGAGGAACACCGAUGGCGAAGGCAGCUCUGGAUAACACUGACGCUCAUGCACGAAAGCGUGGGGAGCAAACAGGAUUAGAUACCCUGGUAGUCCACGCCCUAAACGAUGUCAACUACACGUUGGGGCCUUCGGGCCUUGGUAGCGCAGCUAACGCGUGAAGCGACCGCCUGGGGGAGUCGGUCGUAAGAUUAAAACUCAAAGGAAUUACCGGGACCCGCACAAGCGGUGGAUGAUGUGGAUUAACGGACGUACGCGAAAACCUUACCUAAAUUCUCGACGUCUGAAUCCCGAAGUGGAUUUGGGAGUGCCCGCAAAGAGAAACCGAACAGGUGCUGCAUGGCUGAGUCGUCAGCUCGUGUCGUGAGAUGUUGGGUUAAGUCCCGUAACGGAGCGCAACCCUUGUCAUUAGUUGCUACGAAAGGGCACCUCGACGAGACUGCCGGUGACAAACCGGGAGAUACGACGUCGUCCUCAUGGUCUUAGGCCGCUGACGUCAUACACACGCAUUGUAGAGGGUCGCCAACCCGCGAGGGGGAGCCAAUCCCAGAAACCCGAUCAGUCCGGAUCGCAGUUCGUAACUCGACUGCGUGAAGUCGGAAUCGCUAGUAAUCGCGGAUCAGGCAUGUCGCGGUGAAUACGUUCGGUCUGUACACCGCCCGUCGGGCGAAUUGAAGUGGGAGUAAUACCAGCGUAGUUAGCCUAACCGUAAGGAGGGCGAUUGACGUGAGAGUCUAUGACUGUGUGAAGUCGUAACAAGUGU
RNAcentral lists this ribosomal RNA (1421 nucleotides) under uncultured Bordetella sp. RNAcentral describes it as "partial 16S-23S ribosomal RNA intergenic spacer". It matches the Rfam family "Bacterial small subunit ribosomal RNA". The record is from RNAcentral. Lineage: Bacteria; Pseudomonadati; Pseudomonadota; Betaproteobacteria; Burkholderiales; Alcaligenaceae.